Non-coding RNA from Bos taurus (domestic cattle), 72 nucleotides. The record is from Rfam. Lineage: Eukaryota; Metazoa; Chordata; Mammalia; Artiodactyla; Bovidae.
UCCCUGGUGGCUCAGAGGUUAAAGCGCCUGCCUGGAAUGCUGGACACCCAGGUUCAAUCCCUGGGUCGGGAA